GCCUGACGCAGCGACGCCGCGUGGGGGAUGAAGCUUUUCGGAGUGUAAACCCCUUUCGACUGGGACGAAUGCCCGCAAGGGAGUGACGGUACCAGUAGAAGAAGCCCCGGCUAACUACGUGCCAGCAGCCGCGGUAAGACGUAGGGGGCCAGCGUUGUUCGGAAUUACUGGGUGUAAAGGGUUCGUAGGCGGUGUGGCAAGUCGGGAGUGAAAUCUCUGGGCUUAACUCAGAGGCUGCUUCCGAAACUGCUGUGCUUGAGUGUGGGAGAGGCGCGUGGAAUUGCAGGUGUAGCGGUGAAAUGCGUAGAUAUCUGCAGGAACACCCGUGGCGAAAGCGGCGCGCUGGACCACAACUGACGCUGAGGAACGAAAGCUAGGGGAGCAAACAGGAUUAGAUACCCUGGUAGUCCUAGCCCUAAACGAUCAGGACUUGGGGUGCCGCCCGUUCGGGCGUCGUCCCGGAGCUAACGCGUUAAGUCCUGCACCUGGGGAGUACGGUCGCAAGACUGAAACUCAAAGGAAUUGACGGGGGCCCGCACAAGCGGUGGAACAUGUGGUUCAAUUCGACGCUACGCGAGGAACCUUACCUGGGCUCGAAAUGCUUCGGACCAGCUGUAGAAAUACGGCCUUCCC
This 633-nucleotide ribosomal RNA is filed under the name uncultured bacterium. RNAcentral describes it as "bacterial SSU rRNA". It matches the Rfam family "Bacterial small subunit ribosomal RNA", at positions 381 to 1018 of the family's 1533-position model. The record is from RNAcentral.